Molecule: long non-coding RNA, 338 nt
Organism: Gadus macrocephalus (Pacific cod)
Lineage: Eukaryota; Metazoa; Chordata; Actinopteri; Gadiformes; Gadidae
Exons: 2
Source: RefSeq, a predicted model, not a curated record
UUGGGACAAAUAUCUGGAUGCUGUGAUUUUUGGGCUGAGGACCAAAAAACACAUGACGACAAAGUUCUCCCCAUUCUUCCUCCUGUUUGGGACAGAGGCCCGCCUCCCGAGUGAGGUUCCGGAGGAUUACAAGAUUGACAUAGGCAUGGAGAAUGACCUUGACCAGGAGGUGGUGUCGGAGGCCAUUAAAAGGCAGGAUGCAAUUUAUAGUCUAGUGCGGGAAAACAUAGCCACAGCCCAAAACAAAUAUAAAUUGCCCAAAUCAUCAAAACAGGCAUGUUUUCAGGUGGGGGACAAGGUGCUGCGCAAAAAUAUUCGCAGUCAGCAAAGGAAAGGUG